Molecule: ribosomal RNA, 417 nt
Filed under: Theileria equi
Lineage: Eukaryota; Apicomplexa; Aconoidasida; Piroplasmida; Theileriidae
Description: SSU rRNA
Rfam family: Eukaryotic small subunit ribosomal RNA
Source: RNAcentral
GACAAGAAAUAACAAUACAGGGCUUGAAGUCUUGUAAUUGGAAUGAUGGGAAUUUAAACCCCUUCCAGAGUAUCAAUUGGAGGGCAAGUCUGGCGCCAGCAGCCGCGGUAAUUCCAGCUCCAAUAGCGUAUAUUAAACUUGUUGCAGUUAAAAAGCUCGUAGUUGAAUUUCUGCUGUUUCGUUGACUGCGUUUGGCGUUUGUCAUCGCUGCGGCUUGGUUGGGUUUCGAUUAUUCGUUUCCCGGCGUUUACUUUGAGAAAAUUAGAGUGCUUGAAGCAGGCUUUUGCCUUGAAUACUUUAGCAUGGAAUAACGGAGUAGGACUUUGGUUCUAUUUUGUUGGUUUUAGGAGCCAGAGUAAUGGUUAAUAGGAACAGUUGGGGGCAUUCGUAUUUGACUGUCAGAGGUGAAAUUCUUAG